Molecule: ribosomal RNA, 482 nt
Filed under: uncultured bacterium
Lineage: Bacteria
Description: partial 16S ribosomal RNA
Rfam family: Bacterial small subunit ribosomal RNA
Source: RNAcentral
AUUGAACGCUGGCGGCAUGCUUUACACAUGCAAGUCGAACGGUAACAGGCCGCAAGGUGCUGACGAGUGGCGGACGGGUGCGUAAUGCAUCGGAACGUGCCCAGUCGUGGGGGGUAACUACUCGAAAGAGGAGCUAAUACCGCAUACGAUCUAUGGAUGAAAGCGGGGGACCGUAAGGCCUCGCGCGAUUGGAGCGGCCGAUGUCAGAUUAGGUAGUUGGUGGGGUAAAGGCUCACCAAGCCAACGAUCUGUAGCUGGUCUGAGAGGACGACCAGCCACACUGGGACUGAGACACGGCCCAGACUCCUACGGGAGGCAGCAGUGGGGAAUUUUGGACAAUGGGCGCAAGCCUGAUCCAGCAAUGCCGCGUGCAGGAAGAAGGCCUUCGGGUUGUAAACUGCUUUUGUACGGAACGAAACGGCUCUGGUUAAUACCCGGGGCUAAUGACGGUACCGUAAGAAUAAGCACCGGCUAACUACGUG